RNAcentral lists this ribosomal RNA (1434 nucleotides) under uncultured bacterium. Its description in RNAcentral is "bacterial SSU rRNA". It matches the Rfam family "Bacterial small subunit ribosomal RNA". The record is from RNAcentral.
AGAGUUUGAUCCUGGCUCAGGAUGAACUCCGGCGGUGUGCCUAAUACAUGCAAGUCGUACGCACUGGCCCAACUGAUUGAUGGUGCUUGCACCUGAUUGACGAUGGAUCACCAGUGAGUGGCGGACGGGUGAGUAACACGUAGGUAACCUGCCUCGGAGCGGGGGAUAACAUUUGGAAACAGAUGCUAAUACCGCAUAACAACAAAAGCCACAUGGCUUUUGUUUGAAAGAUGGCUUUGGCUAUCACUCUGGGAUGGACCUGCGGUGCAUUAGCUAGUUGGUAAGGUAACGGCUUACCAAGGCAAUGAUGCAUAGCCGAGUUGAGAGACUGAUCGGCCACAAUGGAACUGAGACACGGUCCAUACUCCUACGGGAGGCAGCAGUAGGGAAUCUUCCACAAUGGGCGCAAGCCUGAUGGAGCAACACCGCGUGAGUGAAGAAGGGUUUCGGCUCGUAAAGCUCUGUUGUUGGAGAAGAACGUGCGUGAGAGUAACUGUUCACGCAGUGACGGUAUCCAACCAGAAAGUCACGGCUAACUACGUGCCAGCAGCCGCGGUAAUACGUAGGUGGCAAGCGUUAUCCGGAUUUAUUGGGCGUAAAGCGAGCGCAGGCGGUUGCUUAGGUCUGAUGUGAAAGCCUUCGGCUUAACCGAAGAAGUGCAUCGGAAACCGGGCGACUUGAGUGCAGAAGAGGACAGUGGAACUCCAUGUGUAGCGGUGGAAUGCGUAGAUAUAUGGAAGAACACCAGUGGCGAAGGCGGCUGUCUGGUCUGCAACUGACGCUGAGGCUCGAAAGCAUGGGUAGCGAACAGGAUUAGAUACCCUGGUAGUCCAUGCCGUAAACGAUGAGUGCUAGGUGUUGGAGGGUUUCCGCCCUUCAGUGCCGGAGCUAACGCAUUAAGCACUCCGCCUGGGGAGUACGACCGCAAGGUUGAAACUCAAAGGAAUUGACGGGGGCCCGCACAAGCGGUGGAGCAUGUGGUUUAAUUCGAAGCUACGCGAAGAACCUUACCAGGUCUUGACAUCUUGCGCUAACCUUAGAGAUAAGGCGUUCCCUUCGGGGACGCAAUGACAGGUGGUGCAUGGUCGUCGUCAGCUCGUGUCGUGAGAUGUUGGGUUAAGUCCCGCAACGAGCGCAACCCUUGUUACUAGUUGCCAGCAUUAAGUUGGGCACUCUAGUGAGACUGCCGGUGACAAACCGGAGGAAGGUGGGGACGACGUCAGAUCAUCAUGCCCCUUAUGACCUGGGCUACACACGUGCUACAAUGGACGGUACAACGAGUCGCAAGCUCGCGAGAGUAAGCUAAUCUCUUAAAGCCGUUCUCAGUUCGGACUGUAGGCUGCAACUCGCCUACACGAAGUCGGAAUCGCUAGUAAUCGCGGAUCAGCAUGCCGCGGUGAAUACGUUCCCGGGCCUUGCACACACCGCCCGUCA